CGACCGCUGGCGGCGUGCUUAACACAUGCAAGUCGAACGGAAAGGCCCUGCUUUUGUGGGGUGCUCGAGUGGCGAACGGGUGAGUAACACGUGAGUAACCUGCCCUUGACUUUGGGAUAACUUCAGGAAACUGGGGCUAAUACCGGAUAGGAGCUCCUGCUGCAUGGUGGGGGUUGGAAAGUUUCGGCGGUUGGGGAUGGACUCGCGGCUUAUCAGCUUGUUGGUGGGGUAGUGGCUUACCAAGGCUUUGACGGGUAGCCGGCCUGAGAGGGUGACCGGCCACAUUGGGACUGAGAUACGGCCCAGACUCCUACGGGAGGCAGCAGUGGGGAAUAUUGCACAAUGGGCGGAAGCCUGAUGCAGCAACGCCGCGUGCGGGAUGACGGCCUUCGGGUUGUAAACCGCUUUCGCCUGUGACGAAGCGUGAGUGACGGUAAUGGGUAAAGAAGCACCGGCUAACUACGU
This 465-nucleotide ribosomal RNA is filed under the name uncultured bacterium. Its description in RNAcentral is "partial 16S ribosomal RNA". It matches the Rfam family "Bacterial small subunit ribosomal RNA", at positions 30 to 506 of the family's 1533-position model. The record is from RNAcentral.